AAUAAACGCUGGCGGAAUGCUUUACACAUGCAAGUCGAACGGGGUUUAAGAGCUUGCUCUUAAACCUAGUGGCGAACGGGUGAGUAAUAUAUCGGAACGUAUCCAAUAAUGGGGGAUAACUAGUCGAAAGAUUGGCUAAUACCGCAUACGUCCUACGGGAGAAAGCUGGGGAUCGUAAGACCUGGCGUUAAUGGAGCGGCCGAUAUCUGAUUAGCUAGUUGGUGGGGUAAAGGCUCACCAAGGCGACGAUCAGUAGCUGGUCUGAGAGGACGACCAGCCACACUGGAACUGAGACACGGUCCAGACUCCUACGGGAGGCAGCAGUGGGGAAUUUUGGACAAUGGGCGAAAGCCUGAUCCAGCCAUUCCGCGUGAGUGAAGAAGGCCUUCGGGUUGUAAAGCUCUUUCGCAAGAGAAGAAAACUACCUAAUAACACUAGGUGAGGUUGACGGUACCUUGAUAAGAAGCACCGGCUAACUACGUGCCAGCCGCCGCCGUAA
Molecule: ribosomal RNA, 499 nt
Filed under: uncultured bacterium
Lineage: Bacteria
Description: partial 16S ribosomal RNA
Rfam family: Bacterial small subunit ribosomal RNA
Source: RNAcentral